RNAcentral lists this ribosomal RNA (468 nucleotides) under uncultured bacterium. Its description in RNAcentral is "partial 16S ribosomal RNA". It matches the Rfam family "Bacterial small subunit ribosomal RNA", at positions 28 to 507 of the family's 1533-position model. The record is from RNAcentral.
GACGAACGCUGGCGGCGUGCUUAACACAUGCAAGUCGAACGGAAAGGCCCUGCUUUUGUGGGGUGCUCGAGUGGCGAACGGGUGAGUAACACGUGAGUAACCUGCCCUUGACUUUGGGAUAACUUCAGGAAACUGGGGCUAAUACCGGAUAGGAGCUCCUGCCGCAUGGUGGGGGUUGGAAAGUUUCGGCGGUUGGGGAUGGACUCGCGGCUUAUCAGCUUGUUGGUGGGGUAGUGGUUUACCAAGGCUUUGACGGGUAGCCGGCCUGAGAGGGUGACCGGCCACAUUGGGACUGAGAUACGGCCCAGACUCCUACGGGAGGCAGCAGUGGGGAAUAUUGCACAAUGGGCGGAAGCCUGAUGCAGCAACGCCGCGUGCGGGAUGACGGCCUUCGGGUUGUAAACCGCUUUCGCCUGUGACGAAGCGUGAGUGACGGUAAUGGGUAAAGAAGCACCGGCUAACUACGUG